Molecule: transfer RNA, 67 nt
Filed under: Phryganea bipunctata
Lineage: Eukaryota; Metazoa; Arthropoda; Insecta; Trichoptera; Phryganeidae
Description: tRNA-Phe
Source: RNAcentral
ACUUAAAUAACUUAUAUCUAGAGUAUAAUAUUGAAGAUGUUAGAGAGAUUAAUUUAAUCUUUAAGUA